UGGGGAAUAUUGGACAAUGGGGGGAACCCUGAUCCAGCCAUGCCGCGUGUGUGAAGAAGGCCUUAUGGUUGUAAAGCACUUUAAGCGAGGAGGAGGGUACUGGUAUUAAUACUACCAGCUACUGGACGUUACUCGCAGAAUAAGCACCGGCUAACUCUGUGCCAGCAGCCGCGGUAAUACAGAGGGUGCGAGCGUUAAUCGGAUUUACUGGGCGUAAAGCGUGCGUAGGCGGCUAAUUGAGUCGGAUGUGAAAUCCCCGAGCUUAACUUGGGAAUUGCAUUCGAUACUGGUUAGCUAGAGUGUGGGAGAGGAUGGUAGAAUUCCAGGUGUAGCGGUGAAAUGCGUAGAGAUCUGGAGGAAUACCGAUGGCGAAGGCAGCCAUCUGGCCUAACACUGACGCUGGGGUACGAAAGCAUGGGGAGCAAACAGG
Molecule: ribosomal RNA, 430 nt
Filed under: Pseudomonadota bacterium
Lineage: Bacteria; Pseudomonadati; Pseudomonadota
Description: Proteobacteria bacterium partial 16S ribosomal RNA
Rfam family: Bacterial small subunit ribosomal RNA
Source: RNAcentral